CAAGUCGAGCGCGAAAAGCCUUCGGGCUGAGUAAAGCGGCGGACGGGUGAGUAACGCGUAGGAAUCUACCUGGUAGUGGGGGAUAACUUGGGGAAACUCAAGCUAAUACCGCAUACGCCCUAAGGGGGAAAGCGGGGGACCUUCGGGCCUCGCGCUAUCGGAUGAGCCUGCGUAGGAUUAGCUAGUUGGUGGGGUAAAGGCCUACCAAGGCGACGAUCCUUAGCUGGUCUGAGAGGAUGAUCAGCCACACUGGAACUGAGACACGGUCCAGACUCCUACGGGAGGCAGCAGUGGGGAAUAUUGCGCAAUGGGCGAAAGCCUGACGCAGCCAUGCCGCGUGUGUGAAGAAGGCCUUAGGGUUGUAAAGCACUUUCAAUUGGGAAGAAAAGUUUGUCGUUAAUAGCGCCAAGCUCUGACAUUACCUUUAGAAGAAGCACCGGCUAACUCCGUGCCAGCAGCCGCGGUAAUACGGAGGGUGCGAGCGUUAAUCGGAAUUACUGGGCGUAAAGCGCGCGUAGGCGGUUUGUUAAGUCAGCUGUGAAAGCCCCGGGCUCAACCUGGGAACUGCAGUUGAUACUGGCCGACUAGAGUACGAGAGAGGGAGGUAGAAUUCCAUGUGUAGCGGUGAAAUGCGUAGAUAUAUGGAGGAA
Molecule: ribosomal RNA, 650 nt
Filed under: uncultured bacterium
Lineage: Bacteria
Description: bacterial SSU rRNA
Rfam family: Bacterial small subunit ribosomal RNA
Source: RNAcentral